UCGAUUCCCUUAGUAGCGGCGAGCGAAACGGGAAGAGCCCAAACCAACAAGCUUGCUUGUUGGGGUUGUAGGACACUCUAUACGGAGUUACAAAGGACGACAUUAGACGAAUCAUCUGGAAAGAUGAAUCAAAGAAGGUAAUAAUCCUGUAGUCGAAAAUGUUGUCUCUCUUGAGUGGAUCCUGAGUACGACGGAGCACGUGAAAUUCCGUCGGAAUCUGGGAGGACCAUCUCCUAAGGCUAAAUACUCUCUAGUGACCGAUAGUGAACCAGUACCGUGAGGGAAAGGUGAAAAGCACCCCGGAAGGGGAGUGAAAUAGAACCUGAAACCGUGUGCUUACAAGUAGUCAGAGCCCGUUAAUGGGUGAUGGCGUGCCUUUUGUAGAAUGAACCGGCGAGUUACGAUUUGAUGCAAGGUUAAGCAGUAAAUGUGGAGCCGUAGCGAAAGCGAGUCUGAAUAGGGCGUUUAGUAU
Molecule: ribosomal RNA, 472 nt
Filed under: Staphylococcus aureus
Lineage: Bacteria; Bacillati; Bacillota; Bacilli; Caryophanales; Staphylococcaceae
Description: partial 23S ribosomal RNA
Rfam family: Bacterial large subunit ribosomal RNA
Source: RNAcentral